CAUAUGUGCUGACACAGCCACCCUCAGUGUCAGUGGCCCCAGGACAGACACCCAGGAUCACCUGUAGGGGAAAUAAUAUUGGAAUUAAACCUGCUUAAUGGUACCAGCAGAAACCAGGCCAGGCCCUUGUGCAGGUCAUCUAUGGGGAUAGCAGAUGGCCUUCAGGGAUCUCUAAGUGAUUCUCCAGCUCCAACUCGGGGAACAUGGUCACCCUGACCAUCAGUGGAGCCCAGGCUGGGGACGA
This 244-nucleotide long non-coding RNA is filed under the name Homo sapiens (human). RNAcentral describes it as "non-protein coding lnc-GGTLC2-2:1". Lineage: Eukaryota; Metazoa; Chordata; Mammalia; Primates; Hominidae. The record is from RNAcentral.